GACGAACGCUGGCGGCGUGCCUAAUACAUGCAAGUUGAGCGAUGAAGCUUGGUGCUUGCACCAAUUUGAAGAGCAGCGAACGGGUGAGUAACGCGUGGGGAAUCUGCCUUUGAGCGGGGGACAACAUUUGGAAACGAAUGCUAAUACCGCAUAACAACUUUAAACAUAAGUUUUAAGUUUGAAAGAUGCAAUUGCAUCACUCAAAGAUGAUCCCGCGUUGUAUUAGCUAGUUGGUGAGGUAAAGGCUCACCAAGGCGAUGAUACAUAGCCGACCUGAGAGGGUGGUCGGCCAAAUUGGGAAUGAGACACGGCCCAAACUCCUACGGGAGGCAGCAGUAGGGAAUCUUCGGCAAUGGACGAAAGUCUGACCGAGCAACGCCGCGGGAGUGAAGAAGGUUUUCGGAUCGCAAAACUCUGUUGGUAGAGAAGAACGUUGGUGAGAGUGGAAAGCUCAUCAAGUGACGGUAACUACCCAGAAAGGGACGGCUAACUACGUG
Molecule: ribosomal RNA, 497 nt
Filed under: uncultured bacterium
Lineage: Bacteria
Description: partial 16S ribosomal RNA
Rfam family: Bacterial small subunit ribosomal RNA
Source: RNAcentral